UGAGGAAUAUUGCACAAUGGGCGCAAGCCUGAUGCAGCAACGCCGCGUGCGGGACGAAGGCCUUCGGGUCGUAAACCGCUUUUCUGGGGGAAGAGCAAGGACGGUACCUCAGGAAUAAGUCUCGGCUAACUACGUGCCAGCAGCCGCGGUAAAACGUAGGAGGCGAGCGUUAUCCGGAUUUACUGGGCGUAAAGCGCACGCAGGCGGCUCUGUUAGUCGGACGUGAAAGCUCUCGGCUUAACCGGGAGAGGCCGUUCGAUACUGCGGGGCUUGAGGUAGGGAGAGGAAUGCGGAAUUCCCGGUGUAGUGGUGGAAUGCGUAGAUAUCGGGAGGAACACCUGCGGCGAAAGCGGCAUUCUGGCCCUCACCUGACGCUGAGGUGCGAAAGCGUGGGUAGCAAACA
This 403-nucleotide ribosomal RNA is filed under the name uncultured bacterium. RNAcentral's name for it is "bacterial SSU rRNA". It matches the Rfam family "Bacterial small subunit ribosomal RNA", at positions 355 to 774 of the family's 1533-position model. The record is from RNAcentral.